UAAAGAACCUGCCUCAUAGACUGGGAUAACUAUUGGAAACGAUAGCUAAUACCGGAUAACAGCAUUAACUGCAUGGUUGAUGUUUAAAAGUUGGUUUUGCUAACACUAUGAGAUGGCUUUGCGGUGCAUUAGCUAGUUGGUGGGGUAAAGGCCUACCAAGGCGACGAUGCAUAGCCGACCUGAGAGGGUGAUCGGCCACACUGGGACUGAGACACGGCCCAG
RNAcentral lists this ribosomal RNA (222 nucleotides) under uncultured bacterium. Its description in RNAcentral is "partial 16S ribosomal RNA". It matches the Rfam family "Bacterial small subunit ribosomal RNA", at positions 118 to 334 of the family's 1533-position model. The record is from RNAcentral.